This 378-nucleotide unclassified non-coding RNA is filed under the name uncultured bacterium. Its description in RNAcentral is "contains 16S-23S intergenic spacer region". The record is from RNAcentral.
UCCGUUUUAUCAACGGCAGUCUCAGUAGAGUGCCCAGCUUGACCUGCUGGCAACUACUGACAAGGGUUGCGCUCGUUGCGGGACUUAACCCAACAUUUCACAACACGAGCUGACGACAGCCAUGCACCACCUGUAUACGAGUGUCCAAAGAGCCUUCUAUCUCUAGAAGGUUCUCGCAUAUGUCAAACCUAGGUAAGGUUCUUCGCGUUGCAUCGAAUUAAUCCGCAUGCUCCGCCGCUUGUGCGGGCCCCCGUCAAUUCCUUUGAGUUUUAAUCUUGCGACCGUACUCCCCAGGCGGGGCACUUAAUGCGUUAGCUGCGGCACCCAGGGGGUCAAUACCCCGGACACCUAGUGCCCAUCGUUUACAGCGUGGACUAC